RNAcentral lists this ribosomal RNA (197 nucleotides) under uncultured bacterium. Its description in RNAcentral is "partial 16S ribosomal RNA". It matches the Rfam family "Bacterial small subunit ribosomal RNA", at positions 157 to 353 of the family's 1533-position model. The record is from RNAcentral.
GAAAGAUUAAUACCCGAUGGCAUAGUUCUUCCGCAUGGUAGAACUAUUAAAGAAUUUCGGUCAUCGAUGGGGAUGCGUUCCAUUAGGUUGUUGGCGGGGUAACGGCCCACCAAGCCUUCGAUGGAUAGGGGUUCUGAGAGGAAGGUCCCCCACAUUGGAACUGAGACACGGUCCAAACUCCUACGGGAGGCAGCAUG